GGGCGGUUAGCUCAGCGGUAGAGCACUACGUUGACAUCGUAGGGGUCACUGGUUCGAUCCCAGUACCGCCCA
Molecule: transfer RNA, 72 nt
Organism: Rhodobacter aestuarii
Lineage: Bacteria; Pseudomonadati; Pseudomonadota; Alphaproteobacteria; Rhodobacterales
Rfam family: tRNA
About the family: Transfer RNA (tRNA) molecules are approximately 80 nucleotides in length.
Source: Rfam